CUUGACCUUAUGUCCUAUGUUAAUAGCUCCACCUUUUGCCCUCUGAUAGGCUGGAAGUUAUUUCUUAUAGCAAUCAAAUCUUGUCAGAUCACCACAAGUGCAUCAGGUGUAAGGUCUAGGGGUCCGUUUGGGAUUGGGCCGGCGAGUGACUGGAGCAUGUUGUCCUUAGUGGUGGUCUGUGAAAUCUAGUGGUGGUCUGUGAAAUCUAGUGGUGGUCUGUGUUAAUGUAGUGGUGGUCUGUGUUAAUGUAGUGUGGAUGUGUGUUGGUGUAGUGGUGGUCUGUGUUAACGUAGUGGUGGUCUCUGUUAGUGUAGUGGAUGUGUGCUAAUGUAGUGGUGGUCUGUGUUAAUGUAGUGUUGGUCUCUGUUAGUGUAGUGGUGGUCUGUGUUAAUGUAGUGGUGGUCUGUGUUAUGGUAGUGGUGGUCUGUGUUAGUGUAGUAGUGGUCUGUGUUAAUGUAGUGGUGGUCUGUGUUAGUGUAGUGGUGGUCUGUGUUAAUGUAGUGGUGGUCUGUGUUAAUGUAGUGGUGGUCUGUGUUAGUGUAGUGGUGGUCUGUGUUAAUGUAGUGGUGGUCUGUGUUAGUGUAGUGGUGGUCUGUGUUAGUGUAGUGGUGGUCUGUGUUAAUGUAGUGGUGGUCUGUGUUAAUGUAGUGGUGGUCUGUGUUAAUGUAGUGGUGGUCUAUGUUAGUGUAGUGGUGGUCUGUGUUAGUGUAGUGGUGGUCUGUGUUAGUGUAGUGGUGGUCUGUGUUAAUGUAGUGGUGGUCUGUGUUAGUGUAGUGUUGGUCUGUGUUAGUGUAGUGGUGGUCUGUGUUAGUGUAGUGUUGGUCUGUGUUAGUGUAGUGGUGGUCUGUGUUAAUGUAGUGGUGGUCUGUGUUAGUGUAGUGGUGGUCUGUGUUAAUGUAGUGGUGGUCUGUGUUAGUGUAGUGGUGGUCUGUGUUAGUGUAGUGGUGGUCUGUGUUAAUGUAGUGGUGGUCUGUGUUAGUGUAGUGUUGGUCUGUGUUAGUGUAGUGGUGGUCUGUGUUAGUGUAGUGUUGGUCUGUGUUAGUGUAGUGGUGGUCUGUGUUAAUGUAGUGGUGGUCUGUGUUAGUGUAGUGGUGGUCUGUGUUAAUGUAGUGGUAGGUCCCUUCCUGUUUGGUUCCGUCUAGUUCUGUUUGGUUCCUAGUGAAUACACCCCUUGUCAUAGGAACAGGCUCUAAGUCAUACUAAUUGGAGGGAGGAUGAUGAAGUUUCCUUUAGACAUUAAC
Molecule: long non-coding RNA, 1241 nt
Filed under: Salmo salar (Atlantic salmon)
Lineage: Eukaryota; Metazoa; Chordata; Actinopteri; Salmoniformes; Salmonidae
Description: lncRNA (ENSSSAG00000108759.1, ENSSSAG00020070176.1)
Source: RNAcentral